AACGAACGCUGGCGGCAGGCCUAACACAUGCAAGUCGAACGGGCGUAGCAAUACGUCAGUGGCAGACGGGUGAGUAACGCGUGGGAACGUACCUUUUGGUUCGGAACAACCCAGGGAAACUUGGGCUAAUACCGGAUAAGCCCUUACGGGGAAAGAUUUAUCGCCGAAAGAUCGGCCCGCGUCUGAUUAGCUAGUUGGUGAGGUAACGGCUCACCAAGGCAACGAUCAGUAGCUGGUCUGAGAGGAUGAUCAGCCACAUUGGGACUGAGACACGGCCCAAACUCCUACGGGAGGCAGCAGUGGGGAAUAUUGGACAAUGGGCGCAAGCCUGAUCCAGCCAUGCCGCGUGAGUGAUGAAGGCCCUAGGGUUGUAAAGCUCUUUUGUGCGGGAAGAUAAUGACGGUACCGCAAGAAUAAGCCCCGGCUAACUUCGUGCCAGCAGCCGCGGUAAC
Molecule: ribosomal RNA, 452 nt
Filed under: uncultured bacterium
Lineage: Bacteria
Description: bacterial SSU rRNA
Rfam family: Bacterial small subunit ribosomal RNA
Source: RNAcentral